Molecule: long non-coding RNA, 1263 nt
Organism: Electrophorus electricus (electric eel)
Lineage: Eukaryota; Metazoa; Chordata; Actinopteri; Gymnotiformes; Gymnotidae
Source: Ensembl
AGUCAAAAGUAUAUUCCAAUAUAAUUUUACUUACACUUUUCAGAGUCCAAGCUUCUCUCAGACAAGGGGGAGCAUCCACACUUUUCAGAGUCCAAGCUUCUCUCAGACAAGGGGGAGCAGAAGGAUGCAUUGGCUGUUUCUUCUGUUCAGAUGGGAGGGCUCGACAGUGAGGAGUUUGGUCCCAGACUGCCCCCUCCUGGACAAGUGUUCCCCUCAUCUUCAUCACAGGCACAGGAGGAGACAGCUAAGAAACAGAAGCACAAAGCCAAGAAAGAUCACAAACACCGGAAAGAGAGUAAGGUACAGUCAGCUCCCACACUCAGGCCUUGGAAACCAGACCAUAUGCAGCUCGCUGUUUCCAUGGAGAUGUGGAGGAAAGUUCUGUUCAUCUCUCUCUACCCCUUUUGAUUCUUCAUCUCUACUAGCAUAAGAAGAAGAGUAAGAAGCACAAGCAUAAAGGAAAGCAGAAGAAGAAAAAGAAGAAAGCAGAGGAGUCCGACUCCAGCUCGGACGACUCCGACAGCGACGAUGUCGCUGAGUUGGGGGCGGCGUGCACGGUAGAGCUGCUCCAGAGGUCAUGGUCUUGCUCUCGUUACCAGCUGUUUAGCCAUAAUAUACAAUAUUAUCUAGCAGCUUUAAUCAGACAUAAUCUACCUACUUCAUCAAAUAGAUAAAUGUAUUUAAAUACUUGCUGUGUAAGUAAUUGAUUUAUUUGAAUGUUAAAACAUCCCUGGAGAAUAAAACUCUCUCUCUCUCUCUCAGGUUAAAAAAAUCUUCGUGGAAAGAAGUAAAGAAGUGAUUUCUUUGAGAGGGAUAACCCAUCCUCCAUGAGGAUUUUACUACAAUACAUAGUUUAAGGAAAUAAUACCUGUAAAUGACUACUCUGUGCCCAUCUUCAACUUUAGCAAAAUUAAGAAAAUGCCUUGUAAACUUGUACAUGACUUUAAAAUAAAGUUACUCUGAAUGACCCCCCCUACUAUGUUUUAGUCCAUAAUGUAUUAUAAAUCCCCUCACUAUCAGCUUUAUUUGAAACACUUGUUUAAUAAAACACCUUGUAGAUGUAUGGUAAUGGACUAUAGUCCAAAGUCACAUGCAUAAGUUGCCUUAAUAUAGAAGCCUCCAUUGGCUUCACCAUUGUUUCACUGCUGGAUGUGCUAAAAAACGCCUGUGAUGAACUUUGAAUGAAUGGUUGUCAACAGAUGCGUAAUAAUUUUAACAGCACCUAUGAUGUGAGCCUAAUAAAGUGACGAUAAGAAUAAGUGC